CGGUGUUGGACCGCAGAAAAAGUAAGAAAAAGAAAAAUCGGCCCGCGGAGCCCGUCGGGAGGAAAGGAUAAGGCCGGCGGGUAGAAGGAAUAGGAAGAGUGGGGUCCGCGCCGUGGGGCCCAGUGGUUCGUGAGAGAGGGUAGAGAGUGGGUGAGUAAGAAAAGUAUUCCGGGUGAUUUUCGGGAAAAAUUAGAUUUCCUUUAGCGAAAUAAUUCGUUUAAAUUCGUUUUACACCUUUUUAAUCACAGAAAUUUGUAGGAGUGUCCAAAAUUAGUGAAACCAAUUUUGUUAGGCUUAUUUUAUUUUCCUUUAUGCAAUAAAAUUUUUACACCCUAGGAAAAUAAUAAAAAUUCGGGUAUUUAUUUAAUGCUUUCCUUUUUAAGGUAAUUAAAUAAAUACUUAAUAUUUAUAAAAUGUAGUGAAUAAUACUUUAUCAAUCACAAAUAAUUCUUAACCCAUAGGAAAUCAGAUUUUCAAGUUAGGAAAUAAUUACCACUUUUUCUAAAAAUAAAAGAAAAAGCUAUAAGAGGGUUAAAUAAGAAAAAUAAAAGUGUAGAUUAAUCUUUUUAGAUUUUUGUGUGUUGGCUUGCAACUUUAUCAUGAUAAGUCGUAUAGUCCUUGCUGGCUUGCAACUUUAUCAUGAAGGAAAGUUGUAUAGUCUAUAUUCAAAAGGUUUGCAUUCUAACCCCUGCAUGUAUUUAUGCCGUAGAUCCCGAAGCACCGGAAGAAGAUUUUUGGGAAUUCUCAGAGGGACCUUCGGAAUCUGAAGAAGUGUUUGAGUUUGUUCCCUAUGAAGCAAAUCCGUCAGCUUCUACUAAUCUUUUUAACGAACAAGGCAAGCCCCGGUGCAUUUAUACCUAUCUAUUUUGGAGUCGUUAUUUCAUGUGACUAGUUGUAGGUUAAUUGCUAUAUGUAUGCACUAAGUCUAGGAGUUGAUUGAAACCUAUUCUUGUGUAUGAUCAUGCCUUGAUUUAAGGACAUCUUUGCCACUUGUUCAAAUCUUAGAAACUACCCAAGUCUAGAAUUGCUUACUUGCUUACAUGCUUGGUUUACCAACCUUAAGGAAAACUCUUAAGUCAUACAUGCUGCUUAUGAAGGAUAGCUUGGAAAGUGAAAGCGGACAGAAGCUAGAGAUAUAGUUCUGUCUGCUAGAUUAAUUUGGUUAAGGCCCGAUUCGUGUCUUAACUUUUGAUCAAGUGAUAAGCAUCUGAUCACUUACUGGGUAUGGGACCAGUAAAGCCUAGUAGAUUAGUAAAUUCUAUGAUCAGGAAUGCUUCGUACCCGCGCUUGACGUGCUGGAGAUUGGCAGGGGUGUAGCCUGAAACUCACAUGGAGAUCGGGCCAGACGUGGGGUCCCAUGUGGGGGUGCAUCCCUGCGCCCGGGUAGUCGUAUUCCUAAUCAUUGACUUUGCUAAUCGAGAGGUUGUUAAUACGACCUGGACAGUCGUAUAAUGCUGGUGAUCAGGGUACUCUCCUGCAGGAUGUAAUUAGAUCCGGAUCGCCGCAAUUCUUGGUUAUGAAUGCACUUGAUCGCUGUUGAGCAUCGUAGUAUUAAUUCAUGCAAUAUAAAAUCUCCUGUUGUCAAGUAAUGUAUGAUUUAACAGCUAUGGUUGCUUUUACUUCUGAUAUCACUUAGAACGGUUAGGUAAUGACAUAACCCAAAUAAAGGAUAAAACUAAGGCUUUACUCGUAGUAAGCUUUUUCGGCAAAAAUUGUGUCAACCAAACACACCCAGAGGCUGACAUGCAUUCCAAAGAAAACUAUUAUAUUGGUUAGUCGGGUAAGACUUGCUGAGUACCCCGUACUCAGGGUUUUCCCCUUGUGGUUAUCUUUCAGAAGCUCCACAGGAGGCUACAGAGGAGGAGACCCCGAAGCCCUAGGGUAUUGACCUGAGUCCUACAAAUACCCUAGAGAAAAGUUUAUCCACGCAUCUUCUCCUGAACUAUUUAUGUUUAAUCUUAGAACUGGUUUAACACUGCAUCACUAAGUUCGUUUCAACUUAUGUCCUGUAAUAACUCUCUUAAUUAUGUAUGUAAAAAUGUAAUGUUUGUUGAUAUUAUCCCAUCGCGGAUAUUAUCCUGAUGUAUGGUGAAGAGACACGCCGUGGAUCCUUCGAGGAGUCCUAGGGACACUCGACGGACUACCGGACUUAUGUUGUUUUAGGUGUGUUUCGGAUAAUUGCCGUUCCAACGGCGAUUAGGCGCAUUUAAACCAGCUUAAGUUGGGCGGUUCCGCCACAGCUGGUAUCAGAGCCGUAGGUUGGGAUAAUCAACAGAUAUUACCUUUUAAACACUGAGACUCUAUUUUAAAAUAAUAAAAACAAGAGUCAUAGGUGGCAGUAGUGUUAACUGGUUGAUUGUUUUGCAGAUGCUAACUGUUUGCUGCGUGUCGCUAGUAUUCGGUAGUUUAUUAUUUAGGGAGAGAUUGCGAUGCCACCAAUUUUCCUACGAGUGUGUAUAUGAGUCUGAAAGCACGUAGGAAUCGUUGCAUCAUGUUUGCAUUGCAUGUUUUAAAACUUUUGGGUUUGGUGAGUGCCGUUAGACCUGAUCACGUUUCUUUUAUAGGAUGUUUGAAGAAGGCUACACCGAUAAGGAUGGGUGGACCCGCGGUCGUUACUUGGAUAAGCCGGGAUUCGUGCAGUUACUUUGGAAGACGCUACAAGAGUUGGGUUUUCAUAAUCCCCCGGAGUAUUAUUGGAGAAAAGAAGAUACUGGCCACAAGCAAUAUUGCACGGUGUAUGUGCAUAUCCCGGAUGAUGACACCCGACCUAAUUGGCGUUUGGAGGAAGUGAUGGAGUCGGGUUUUGAAUUCAAUGAUACCAUAGAAAGGGCAGCUAUGACAGCUCUUACUGAGCUAUGUGAGAACCACAAGGUGGAGGUAGGGUCGAGCUCCGCUCGAUUCUAUCCAAUCAAGCAUCAAGAUGACAGGGUAUGGAAGAGGAGGAUUAAAGCUUUGAAGAACACAUCCCGAGUGGAGCACGAUGUGUUGGUGGCUGCUGCUUCUGAUUAUAUGACAGCUAUGUACAACUUGCAUCAAGCUUGUAUCCGAGAAUAUUAUAAUCAGAGGCAGAAGAACGAAGAUGCUAGGAUGGAAGUGAUGGGUGCCCGGUAUGACAAGGAGAUGUACAAGAAGGCGGCAAUGGCAAGGGAGCAUGAGAUGGAAAAAGCAAUGCGAGAGCAGUCUAGAAGGAUUGAAGAUUAUGAAGAAAAGCUUAGGGUGAUGCAAGGGUUCAUCGAAGCCAGUCGGAGCAUGGCGGAUAGAGCAAGGGAAGAAGCUGAAUCCAAUGUCCACAGGCUGGAGGCGGAAAGGUUCCAACAGCUAGACGAGAUUCUGUCACUUCGUCUAGCCCUGGAAGAAAUGCAGGCCCAGGCACCUGCACAGAAUAUUGUCAAUGUCCCACCACCUCCCCCACCAGAAGAGCCUCAACCACCGAACCCGGAGGAAGCGGAUCAACUAGUACCUGUGAUAGAAAUGGAAGAAGAUCCGGUGCCACCAGCAGAUCCUGAGAUAGAUCUUUAUGCUCACGAGAAUCUGGAAGGAUUUGAUGUGGACAUGGAGGAUGACCAGGGCGAAGUCCCUGCGGGAAAUCAACAGUUUGCUUGGGCCAAUGCCAAUGCCGAUGGACUAGAUCCUCAGGGCUAUGGUCCCAUGUAGUAGUGGGGAGAAGAAGAACCCGAAGGCGGAGAAGAAGAAGAGGAUCCUGAAGAAAUGGAAGGAAACUCUGGAAUUAGCACCUCUGAUACUUCCCGCACUUGGAGUGACUACGGACCGGAGUCCGGAAGUGAAAAUUCUGUCAAUCAAGCCCCACCUGUUGCUCCCCCAGGACAAACCUUGAUGACCGUGGACCAAGAUGUCCUGCAGGAAGCCAUGGCUCGACUAGGAUUAAAUGCCGAAGAACUGGGCAUUUUCCCUUAUGACGGUUGAAGUGAACUUGGUUUGAAAGUGCUGUAAUAUAUUGUUGUAAAAUAUGUGUGUGGGACAAGUGGUACGAAGGGGUUUUUGUAAAAAUUAACUCCUGGGCAUGUAAUAUAAAUAAGUAUGUACAUAAGUAUGGUUUGUGUGUGAGCAUGCUGUGAUGUGUGACAUGUUAGUGUGAAGAAAAUUGUUGAGAAAAUGCACCUUAGAUAUUAAUAUCUUGUUACUCUUGGCAGCAUGACAGAUCCCAGAGAACCCCGAGCUUCAGGUUCCGGAGGACAGGAAGAGGAUUUACCCAGAGCACCCACGCUGGUUGACGCCAUAGCCAGUCUGAUGAAUUCUGGGGCAGAACAAGCCCGAUUACUCCAAAUGAUAGUACAGAACACUGGCAACGGUGGACGUAGGAGAGAUCCGGAGCAGGGUGUGUCCUACACCCAAUUUCUGGAAACCCGUCCCCCAGUAUUCUUGAAGGCCAAGCAUCCAUUGGAGGCUAACGAGUGGCUUCAAGCCAUGGAACAAAAAUUUCGAGUAAUCCCCCAAUGUACUACCGCUCAGAAGGCCGAAUUUGCAGGGCUCCAGCUUCAAGGUCCCGCAGCAACUUGGUGGACCAGUCAUCUGGCCAGGCAGCCAGUGGGGAGGGAAGUUACAUGGGAAGAUUUUAAGGAAGCCUUUCGGACGCAGUUUAUACCGGAAGGUGUCAUGAGAAUGAAACUGGAACAGUUCUUGGGACUACAACAAGGAACUCGCAGUAUUCUGGCAUAUACCAGUGAGUUCGAUCACCUAGCCCAAUAUGCACUAGAGCAUGUCAACACUGAAACCAGAAAGAGGGAUUGUUAUCUUAGAGGACUUAACGCAAGAAUGCAGGAGAAGCUAUCCACCUGCAUUUUCACCGAUUAUAGCUCCGCGGUGAGUACGGCUAUUACCGCGGAAGAAAAGAUGAAAAUAUUGGAUGAAACCUUAAGAAAAGAAGAAGCAUUGAAGAGGAAGAAUGUCCCUUCUGGGAACUUUGGGAAUGCUCCCCAAAGAAUGAGGAUGGUAUAUAGAGGUCCUCCCCGACCCAUGUAUCGUCCUUCAUUCCAGCAACGGCCUUUCCAGUCUUGGAAUGCUAGAGCUCCCAGUGCUGCCCCUCGUCCUGGAACUACACCACCUUUCGGGUUUCGUAACCCUACUCCUUCGGGAACCCCACAGGUUUGUUUCAACUGUGGGAAGCCAGGACAUUUCGCCCGAGACUGUCGUUUUCCCAAAGUUGGGGGAAACGCAAAUUUAAAGGCUCAGACCUCGGGCCAAGGCACUGGACAAAAGUUUGUCCGUCGCAAGUUCGUCAACACCAAGACGGGACAAGCUCACUAUAUGACUGUAGAAGAAAUUCCAGAAGGAGAGCCAAUCCUAGCAGGUAUGUAUCUUGUUAACAAUUAUCCUGCUAUGGUUUUAUUUGAUUCCGGCGCAUCACAUACCUUUAUAAGUAGAAGGUUUGUUACACAACAUCAACAAGAAGUUCAUACCUUAAAUGUCAAAUAUGCUAUUCAAGCUACUAGUGCCACACAGAAUACAAAUCAAGUAGCUCGCAAUGUGAUUUUAAACCUAGAAGGAAAUAAGGUGGGAGCUUAUCCUUUAAUUCUGGAAGAUCAAGGAAUAGAUCUUAUUUUGGGAGUAAGUUGGAUGAAAGAACAUGAAGUUCAAAUUAAUAUGGUUACUCGGGUCGUUAGCAUGAAAGAUGACCAAGGCCACCUUUUUGAGCUCCAGUUACCUGCUCAUCCUUAUUUGGACCAGAUGGUCAAAAAGACUAGAGCAGUGACUCUAGAAUCUAUUCCUGUGAUUAAUGAGUUUCUAGAUGUAUUUCCAGAAGAUUUGCCUGGGCUACCGCCUGAUAGAGCGGUAGAAUUCACUAUUGAGUUAGAACCAGGCACCGCUCCUAUCUCUAGAAGACCAUAUCGAAUGCCACCUAAAGAGCUAGCAGAAUUAAAAACACAACUCCAAGAAUUGUUGGAUAAGGGUUUCGUCCGACCUAGCACUUCACCAUGGGGCUGCCCAGCUCUAUUUGUUAAAAAGAAGGAUGGCACAUUAAGGCUAUGUGUAGAUUACCGCCCUUUGAAUGCGGUAACCAUCAAAAACAAGUAUCCGCUGCCACGGAUUGACUUAUUAUUCGACCAGUUGUCCGGAGCUAAGGUCUUUUCAAAAAUCAACCUUUGGUCAGGAUACCACCAGAUUAAGAUAAAACCCGAGGACAUACCAAAAACAGCCUUUUCGACCCGAUAUGGACUAUAUGAGUAUUUGGUUAUGUCUUUCAGACUGACAAAUGCCCCAGCGCAUUUUAUGUACCUCAUGAAUUCAGUAUUCAUGCCGGAGUUAGAUAAAUUUGUGGUCGUCUUUAUAGACGAUAUCCUUGUCUUUUCUAAAAAUGAGGAGGAACAUGCGCAACACUUGCGCAUUGUUCUAAAUAGACUCCGGGAACACCAGUUGUAUGCCAAGUUUAGUAAGUGUGAAUUCUGGUUAAAGAAAGUUCCAUUCCUUGGGCACAUACUGUCCGAAAAAGGAAUUGAAGUGGAUCCCGGAAAAGUCAAGGAUAUACUGGAUUGGAAAUCACCAACUUCUGUUCAUGAAGUAAGAAGUUUCUUGGGAAUGGCUGGCUAUUACCGUAGAUUCAUUCCCAAUUUCUCAAAGGUUUCUAAGCCAAUCACAGAGUUAUUAAAGAAGGACACGAAAUUUGAAUGGAAACCUGAGUGCGAAGAAGCAUUCCAAAUCUUAAAGAAAUUGCUGACUACAGCCCCAGUGCUAGCUCAACCUGACAUAGAGAAACCUUUUGAUGUAUAUUGCGAUGCCUCAGGAACAGGCAUUUGGUGUGUUCUGAUGCAAGAAGACAGGGUUAUUGCUUAUGCUUCUCGUCAGUUGAAGCGUCAUGAAGAGCAUUACCCCACUCAUGAUUUAGAGCUUGCUGCCGUAGUGCAUGCACUAAAGAUAUGGUGACACUAUCUUUUAGGUAGUGAAUGUCGUAUCUUUACUGACCACAAAAGCUUGAAAUACUUCUUUACUCAGAUGGACUUGAACAUGAGGCAAAGACGGUGGCUAGAACUGAUUAAAGACUAUAAACUAGAAAUUCAUUACCAUCCUAGUAAGGCUAAUGUGGUGGCCGACGCCUUGAGCAGAAAGGCCCAAUGCCACUGCACUACCGUCCAGUCUAACUUGAAGACCUUGUGUGAAGAAAUGGGAGAAUUGAGUUUGGAAAUAGUAAAACAAGGCACCCUCCAGAAUAUUAUGGUUCAAGAUACCCUAAAAGAAAGAAUCAUAACAGCCCAAAAAGAAGAUCCAUGGAUUAAGACACUUUAUCAGCAAAAAGCCGAGGGGAAGAUUCCCGAAUUUAAUCAAGAAGAAGAUGGAGGACUGUACUUCAAGAGCAGGAUAGUGGUUCCUAAAGACGAAGAUCUAAGGAAAUUAAUCUUAGAAGAAGCACAUCUGUCCAAAUUCUCCAUUCAUCCCGGAACAAAUAAAAUGUACCAAGAUUUAAAGCAAAGAUUUUGGUGGGCCAAAAUGAAACCUGAAAUUGCAAGAUAUGUAUCAGAAUGUGAUACUUGCCAAAGAGUUAAACCCAUACUACAAAAGUCGGCAGGUUUGUUACAACCUUCAGAAAUCCCUGUCUGGAAAUGGGAAGAUAUUUCUAUGGAUUUUAUAGUAGGACUGCCUACCACUUCAAAAGGAUAUGAUUCCAUCUGGGUUAUUGUCGACCGCCUUACUAAGUCAGCUCACUUUAUUCCAGUCAAGACUACUUACCCGGUGUCGACAUGUGCCAAACUCUAUAUAGCCCGGAUUGUAUCCUUGCACGGAGUGCCGAACACCAUAAUCUCCGAUCGAGGUUCCCAGUUUGUUUCCAGGUUCUGGGAACGAUUACAAAAGGACAUGGGUACUACUCUCAUUAGAAGUUCUGCUUAUCAUCCUCAAACUGGAGGACAGACAGAAAGGGUCAAUCAAAUUUUAGAAGACAUGUUAAGAGCAUGUGUCCUUACCUUCUCUAAGCUAUGGGAUGAAUGUUUGCCCCUAGCUGAAUUCUCCUAUAAUAAUAGCUAUCAAGCUAGCAUUAAGAUGGCACCUUUCGAAGCCUUGUAUGGUCGAAGAUGCCGAACUCCUCUAAAUUGGUCAGGAGUAGGAGAAAGGACACACCUGGGGUCGGACUUGGUUAUGGAAACCAAGGAGAAGGUCCAGAAAAUUCGCAAGCAUUUAGAAGUAGCCCAGUCCCGGCAAAAGAGUUAUUCAGACAAAAGAAGACGGUCCUUGGAAUUUUAUGCCGGAGAUUUUGUAUACUUAAAGGUAUCCCCAAUGAAAGGCGUACAGCGCUUUGGAGUAAAGGGUAAGUUAGCCCCGAGAUAUAUUGGUCCCUAUGAAAUUCUGGAACGAAAGGGUCCAGUGGCAUAUAAACUGUCAUUGCCAGACCAACUUGCUUCUAUACAUGACGUAUUUCAUGUAUCCCAGCUUAAGAAGUGCCUAAGAGUUCCAGAAGAAAUUUUAGAAGAUCCAGAAAUUGAGCUCGAGCCAGAUCUAACCUAUGAAGAAAGACCUAUUAAAAUUCUGGAUCAAAAGACACGAGAUACCCGAACUCGGAGUAUCACGUUUUAUAAAGUACAAUGGAAAAACCAUACUCCGGAUGAAGCUACUUGGGAGAAAGCUGAAGACCUAGAGUCUAAAUAUCCGGAAUUAUUUGAAACCGUCAGGGACUGAGGAACAAAAGCCACCACCCCACUAUCCUUGUACAGAAAAAGAAAGAAUAAUUGACCUGACGCAGUUUCCUUUCCAUUCCAAAAACCAAGGAUUUAACCCAAGGAAUCUCGGGACGAGAUUCUGUUAAGGGGGAGAGGCUGUAAUAAUUGCCAUUUGAGGUAUUAAAGUAACUAUGAGAAAUCAGAAAGAAAUCCAAAAGAAAAAGAAAAGAAAUUGGCAAAAAGAUCAAAUUCGGUCAAAUUUGACCGAAAUUUGAAUUUCAAAUUUGAAAUUCAGAAAAAUUUGCCAAAAAUGUGGAAUACAAGUGUAAGAGUGUUUAGGACUGAAAGAUCAAAAAUUUGGGACCAAAUUAGUGCCAAUUAUCUCAAAGGAAUCAAAGAAAGAAAAAGAAAAGGGACGUGUACUGUUCAUCGUCCGAAAAUAGGAUUCAGAGAAAACAGCUUCAAAGUUCAUUUUGGAAAUUGAUUUCUGGAGAAUUUUUCAAAUAAGUGCACUAGAACAUCUACACUAUAUUGAAGUAUCAAUCUUGGACUACAAUAUUCAUGUGUUGUUGGCCAGGAACAGUAAAGGGAAGGAAUUCAAACUCAAGCUCAAAGUCAGCACAAAAUCACAGUUAACUGAAACUCUGAAUUUGACUAAGUCUGAACAGCAGCAAGGCGUCAACUUGGAGCUCGAAUUCAGAGCAAUGUAGCUAAAAGGGGGUACUUGUUCAUGAGAAAAAUGGAACAUUGGGACAUUGUAGAACAUAUUUAAGAAGAAAUUGGACUAUGGGGAGAAGGAUUGGACCACUAAAUCAAGUCACCAAGUGAGAUCAGUGACACUGUCGGUGACUGACGAAACUGAAUGACAGUUUCAGUGCAUUUCAGAAGAAACCGAGAAACAAAUCCAAAUUCAAUCCUAUUUGAUGAUUAUCUCGGGAUGAAGCCAAAAUAAAAGAUGGAGAGUUUGAGAUUAUCUCCAACUUUGGUUCAGACGCUAGAGGCCGUCAGAUGGAAGAUCGACCACCAGUCGGCUCUGAAGGUCACGGGCGUCAGAGGAACGGUGACAGAGCUCCAGACGUGUCGCCGCCGCCGUCGUCGGUCGACCGCCAGAGCGACUAGCUAGGCCACCUCCUCACCACGCAAGCCUACGGGUAGGCCACGGUGUCGUCCAUGCGCGAGGUUAAACGCUUGAAUGUUUACUGCUCCCGCGCCGCCGUUUCACCGUCUCCCCUUUUUACCGCCGCCCACUCUUCUCUGUCAAAGCACCGCCGCCGAGCAAAAUUCCACCACCUCCCCGCAGCUCCCGUCGAUUCCUCUCGCCCACUUCCCCACAGACACCCUAGCUACACCCCGAGCCAGUCGUAGUCCCACAUCCAUGCCGGAGUAGCCGUGCUCGCCGCCGCUUCUGUCCGCCGCCGUCGCGCCGCCCGCUCACGGUGAGAACCACCUUGCGCUGCUUCUCUUCUGUCUUGAGUAGUCGUAGUCGAGUCUCUAGUGUCCUAGGAUGGAGUAGAGGUAGUUGUUUGAGUCGGUUAAGCUGUUAUCGUGAGUAGCCACGGCCGGCCGAGGGAGUCGCCGCCCGUCGCCGUGGAGGGGAGGGCUCCAGCCAUCUCCCGGGGAGCUGUUGCCGCGCACGGGGUCGUGUAGGUGUAGGAGUGGUGUUGCGACCUAGUCCCGCCGCUGGGAGGGCGCCGGCCGGCGAGCCGCGCCGCCCCCUGUCACGGGUGUGUUUUGGCGGGAGGUAGGAGAAGGCGCUGGGCGCUCGGGCCCGCGCGUCAGAGGAGAAAGAGGAGGGAGGAGGCAGGCCGGGGCGACGCGAGCGGUUGCUGGGCCGCGGCGCGUCGUAGAGGCCCAGUAGCGCGCGGGUCAGCUGAGCUCGGAAGGAGGCCGGAACGGCGCAGUCGCUGGUUGGACCGGCGCGUUGGAGGCCCAGUAGCAGCGCGCGCGCGGUCGGCGAGAAUCGGAAAAAGAGGCCGGAGGCCCAGAGCAGUAGCGGGCCGGCAUCGCGAAAAGAAAGGAAAAAGGAAGAGGGCCGUGGGCCGGUGUUGGACCGCAGAAAAAGUAAGAAAAAGAAAAAUCGGCCCGCGGAGCCCGUCGGGAGGAAAGGAUAAGGCCGGCGGGUAGAAGGAAUAGGAAGAGUGGGGUCCGCGCCGUGGGGCCCAGUGGUUCGUGAGAGAGGGUAGAGAGUGGGUGAGUAAGAAAAGUAUUCCGGGUGAUUUUCUGGAAAAAUUAGAUUUCCUUUAGCGAAAUAAUUUGUUUAAAUUCGUUUUACACCUUUUUAAUCACAGAAAUUUGUAGGAGUGUCCAAAAUUAGUGAAACCAAUUUUGUUAGGCUUAUUUUAUUUUCCUUUAUGCAAUAAAAUUUUUACACCCUAGGAAAAUAAUAAAAAUUCGGGUAUUUAUUUAAUGCCUUCCUUUUUAAG
RNAcentral lists this long non-coding RNA (11026 nucleotides) under Setaria viridis. RNAcentral's name for it is "long non-coding RNA (SVIR_LNC007551)". The record is from RNAcentral. Lineage: Eukaryota; Viridiplantae; Streptophyta; Magnoliopsida; Poales; Poaceae.